CGGGCCUGUAGCUCAGUUGGUUAGAGCAGUGGACUCAUAAUCCAUUUGUCCUAUCAACCAGCUUUGCCCUUCCA
This 74-nucleotide transfer RNA is filed under the name Gammaproteobacteria bacterium. Its description in RNAcentral is "tRNA-Met". It matches the Rfam family "tRNA". Rfam says of the family: Transfer RNA (tRNA) molecules are approximately 80 nucleotides in length. Lineage: Bacteria; Pseudomonadati; Pseudomonadota; Gammaproteobacteria. The record is from RNAcentral.